RNAcentral lists this ribosomal RNA (200 nucleotides) under uncultured bacterium. RNAcentral describes it as "partial 16S ribosomal RNA". It matches the Rfam family "Bacterial small subunit ribosomal RNA", at positions 328 to 539 of the family's 1533-position model. The record is from RNAcentral.
ACGCUCGACACCUACGGGAGGCAGCAGUGGGGAAUAUUGCACAAUGGGGGAAACCCGUGAUGCAGCGACGCCGCGUGAAGGAAGAAGUAUCUCGGUAUGUAAACUUCUAUCAGCAGGGAAGAAAGUGACGGUACCUGACUAAGAAGCCCCGGCUAACUACGUACCAGCAGUUGCGGUAAUCUGAGGCGGGCUGGCAAGGC